CCCCUCAUCAAAAAAAAAAACCGCCCAGCUCCCCCCUGCCGCCGCGGACGCGCGAGACGACGAGGCGCCCGCAGCCUCCCGCCCCCCCUCCCCCGCCGGCAGCGGUGGCCCCACCGCCGGUGCACCUGAUGGCGGCAGCGCGUCGGGAGGCAUCAGAUUCAUGGGAGGAAGGAGCAGCAGGAGCCGGAUCCACACCCAACCACCCAGCUCCCGUCCUCACCACCCUGCCGGUCGCAGCUUCCUCCAUCGCCGCCCGCCGCCGCCGCCGAUGCGCGGGACGACGAGGCAACUGCAGCCUCCCCGCCCCCUCCUCCUCCCCGCCGGCAGCGGCGGCCCCCACCGCCGGUGGUGGGCACGGCGGCGUAGGGACGGGGUCGACGCCACUCCCCUCCUCCGACGGUGCUCCCUCAUCCCGACCCCGUUCCGCGAGCCCGUUCCAAGAUCGAGGCGAGCCGCGAGCAGCAGCCAUGAGCAAGGUGUUCGAGGGCUGCGAGAGGCAAUACUGCGUGGCCGCGGCCUCCCUCUCCCGCAAGUGCACCGCUGCCUCUGCCCUUGAUGGAGGUUGAAUCUCCGCAGAGAAGGAAGCAAAAGCUGUUCGAGAUCCAGUCCGGCGUGGAGGAAGCUGAAUCGCUGGUAAAUAGAUGCAUCAACGCAUUUUGUUCCAUAUGCACAUAUAGAUUCGUCUGCAAUUGAGAUCUAGUACACAUGCUGGAUGGAGGAUUUGAGCUAGCAGGUCAGUCAAACAAUCACGAAUUCAGCUUUUCACAGCAAUUUUGAUGAGUAAUAAUCUAGUAGAAAGCUGGAUUAAUUCUUUUCCCGUGAAAGCACAUUGAGUCAGAUCUCAUUUGGUGUUGGAGCUCAAUGUAUCUGCACGUCUAUUUGGAUGCAUUGAUACUUGAAUCGAGACUGCACCCAGUUUUGGGUAAAUCUCGUGUGCCUAAUGCUUUUGACACUACCAACUGUGAGCAUUGAAUUGUGAUCUCGAUGUAACCAAGCCUUCUGCAUGCUCUGUCUCAUGUUCAUGUAGUUUGUACUGAUUAUACUGUGCUGAUUUUUUUUCUUCUUGACAAUCAUUUUUAGUUGACAGUUUACUAAAAGAUCUCAAGCACGCUACCCAUGAUUCAGAUCAGAUAUUCCUAGUAUGAACAAAAGUGGUUCUUUUUAUUUUUAUUACUCCUUGCCCAUUCCAACCUCUGUCCCGUAUCUCCAGCAUCAGUUAAAAAAUGUCCUCGUACUGAAAUCUUGCUACGUCUCAAAUCCCUUAGGUUUUUCUCAUCAUCAAAUUACUGAUUUCAGUAUUACCUACAGAUGUGCAGAGCAAGGAGAAGAAUGUUGUAAGGCCAUCAGGGAGGUUGCCAAGUGAAACGACAUGGGAUCUGCAAAGGUUCUGGCUGGAGAGGGAUCGCAGGCCUGCCAAAUAGUUGCUGAUAGCUAGGCAUCUCUUUCUGAAUUGUGUGCACUAGGAUAGCAGUAGCAGUAGCAACGGGUAACUGUCAGCUCAUCAAUCAUGCCUGUAUUUUGUGCAGCAAGUUGGAUACUAGGACUGCUUGCCGGAGAUUGCACGUGCUGGCGGUGUUGCUCGCUUGCUGGAGAUCACCCGUUAUGAAGCCUGGAGUUGCUUGCUUGCUGGAGAUCGCGUGCACAAGAGGAGCUGCUUGCUGGAGAGCGACAGACCACCUGUGGCAUGGCCGGCCAGCCGCAAGCAUUGAUCGAUGAUGUGAGGUGGACACAAUGAUCUCCAUUGAAAGCGCCAUCUUUGAGGGGACCCCAUCAUCACAAUUAGGAGCCUGUGUGGCACUGGUUCGGCCAGCUACAGUGGCUAGAGCUAAAGCCAGCGGAGCCUGGCCAAAUGGGGCCUAGGUGUUUAGGGACGAUUCCCCUUUGAUUCCCCUGUUCAGCACUCAAUGAAUUUUCUGCAGAGCAUCCAUGGUACAGUAGAUAGAUUGUGAGUUUCAUGUGAGGAUGGUAUAUUUAAAACCUCUCUGUAUAGAUUCUUAUGAAAAUGUAAGUUCGGAUUGGCAGAUGAUAGAAAUAGUGAUGCCAAUAUGGCUUCAUCUUGUGUGCUUAUGGUAUUUAUGAACCGGCUCAGAAAAAAUGUAUGGUUUGUUUAAGAUAAUAAGAUUUUUUGCAUCAAUAUGUUUUGUUA
Molecule: RNA transcript, 2146 nt
Organism: Panicum virgatum (switchgrass)
Lineage: Eukaryota; Viridiplantae; Streptophyta; Magnoliopsida; Poales; Poaceae
Gene name: Krueppel-like factor 14
Exons: 3
Source: RefSeq, a predicted model, not a curated record